UGUACAGGUGGUGCAUGGUUGUCGUCAGCUCGUGUCGUGAGAUGUUGGGUUAAGUCCCGCAACGAGCGCAACCCUCGUUCUAUGUUGCCAGCGGGUUAUGCCGGGGACUCAUAGGAGACUGCCGGGGUCAACUCGGAGGAAGGUGGGGAUGACGUCAAAUCAUCAUGCCCCUUAUGUCUUGGGCUUCACGCAUGCUACAAUGGCCGGUACAAAGGGCUGCGAUACCGUAAGGUGGAGCGAAUCCCAAAAAGCCGGUCUCAGUUCGGAUUGAGGUCUGCACUCGACCUCAUGAAGUCGGAGUCGCUAGUAAUCGCAGAUCAGCAACGCUGCGGUGAAUACGUUCCCGGGUCUUGUACACACCG
Molecule: ribosomal RNA, 362 nt
Filed under: Curtobacterium sp. L22
Lineage: Bacteria; Bacillati; Actinomycetota; Actinomycetes; Micrococcales; Microbacteriaceae
Description: bacterial SSU rRNA
Rfam family: Bacterial small subunit ribosomal RNA
Source: RNAcentral